AUGAAGGAUGCUGCUGUGAGCCAUGCCACCCCAUCAGCAAGUGUUGAAGUGGACGCUCCCGAGACGAACCUAGGCAAGGAAGAUUCCCGCUCUUCUGACACUGAUUCCAAGCGCGUGCGUGGUGGCACACCUGUGUCCACGACAGAAGCUGCUGAGGCGGCAGUUCAUAAGGAUAUGCCAUCUACAGGUGAGAGUCAUGGCACAACAGCUCCAGCCCCUGUCGAUGCAGAUACUGCUAAGGUGACCGUGGCGCGUGCUGGUCUUCCACCUAGGUGUCGCAGCCCCCGCAAGCAACCAACAGUCAUACCCAAUGCACCGGUUGUACCUAGGAGUAGGAGAGACGAGGCUGGGUAUGUUCCUGCGUCCACACUGUUCCCGCCAUCCGCCAGAAGCAAUGUGACGGAGAAACCGCAAGAUCGGAGCACAAUUGAUGCAGGUGUGAAGCCGGGCACGAGUGACGCAGGUGAACGGCCGAGGCAGACUGCGCCUUUACCCGCAGUGGAAAUCCCCAGCAUAAAUCUACGCACUUUCAGGCUCCCAGUCAAUGUCGGUGUCCCCUACAGCCCAAACAAGAAGAUUGCCAUGAAAGCUGCUGCUGAUACCACCGACAACACGCCCCGCCCUGCAAAUAAGCCCGAACAUUCUGUAGCGGCCGAUUCAAAUAUGUUUGUCGAUCUUUCACCAUUGGAUUCUGCCCCGCAAAUCGUUCGUGGUCUGGCCAGUAGGAAUGAGAGGCACCCAAUGUCAUUUACCCCACCGAGCUUCAGCCUUGGCAUCAGUCAAGAUCAACCGGUGGUGCAUGAUCCUUUGCCAGUUGCCUUUGCUUUCCCAGGAGGCAUGCCCACAAUGAUGGCGCAGCCAAUGGUCGAGGGCAGGAAGGCUGUCAAGUUCGCGGAGCCAAUUGUGCAAGGCACCCCUGAGGAAAUUUCACCGUCACUUGACGAAGCUUACCGCAAGAUCGAGGAGGCAGCAUUGCAGAGGAGGACCUCGCGAGGGCAAGGGCAAUCAAGUUCCAACUUGCCCGCAGAGACGGCAUCUGAGGAUACCAUCAGAAGUGCCACCCCUGGUUCUGUGAGACAGCAGAGGGUAGUUCACCCACCUCCCGCGGAAGACUACGAGCCCGAAUUCAGGGCCACUAAGGAACAAACCCAGCUGUACGACAUCAUCAAGCGGUUUGGAAAUGCGAGGGCCAGCAGCAAGCACAUGAAGGAGUUGAAAGCAUGA
This 1224-nucleotide ribosomal RNA is filed under the name Triticum aestivum (bread wheat). Its description in RNAcentral is "partial small subunit ribosomal RNA". The record is from RNAcentral. Lineage: Eukaryota; Viridiplantae; Streptophyta; Magnoliopsida; Poales; Poaceae.